Molecule: unclassified non-coding RNA, 350 nt
Filed under: soil metagenome
Description: partial contains 5.8S ribosomal RNA, internal transcribed spacer 2, and large subunit ribosomal RNA
Rfam family: 5.8S ribosomal RNA (bases 1-120)
Source: RNAcentral
GAUGAAGAACGCAGCGAAAUGCGAUAAGUAAUGUGAAUUGCAGAAUUCAGUGAAUCAUCGAAUCUUUGAACGCACAUUGCGCCCGCCAGUAUUCUGGCGGGCAUGCCUGUUCGAGCGUCAUUACAACCCUCAGGCCCCCGGGCCUGGCGUUGGGGAUCGGCGGAGCCCCCCGUGGGCACACGCCGUCCCCCAAAUGCAGUGGCGGUCCCGCCGCAGCUUCCAUCGCGUAGUAGCUAACACCUCGCGACUGGAGAGCGGCGCGGCCACGCCGUAAAACACCCAACUCUUCUGAAGUUGACCUCGAAUCAGGUAGGAAUACCCGCUGAACUUAAGCAUAUCAAUAAGGGAGA